UGGGGAAUUUUGGACAAUGGGGGAAACCCUGAUCCAGCCAUCCCGCGUGUGCGAUGAAGGCCUUCGGGUUGUAAAGCACUUUUGGCAGGAAAGAAACGUCGCGGGUUAAUACCCCGCGAAACUGACGGUACCUGCAGAAUAAGCACCGGCUAACUACGUGCCAGCAGCCGCGGUAAUACGUAGGGUGCAAGCGUUAAUCGGAAUUACUGGGCGUAAAGCGUGCGCAGGCGGUUCGGAAAGAAAGAUGUGAAAUCCCAGAGCUUAACUUUGGAACUGCAUUUUUAACUACCGGGCUAGAGUGUGUCAGAGGGAGGUGGAAUUCCGCGUGUAGCAGUGAAAUGCGUAGAUAUGCGGAGGAACACCGAUGGCGAAGGCAGCCUCCUGGGAUAACACUGACGCUCAUGCACGAAAGCGUGGGGAGCAAACAGGAUUAGAUACCCUGGUAGUCCACGCCCUAAACGAUGUCAACUAGCUGUUGGGGCCUUCGGGCCUUGGUAGCGCAGCUAACGCGUGAAGUUGACCGCCUGGGGAGUACGGUCGGCAAGAUU
RNAcentral lists this ribosomal RNA (548 nucleotides) under uncultured bacterium. Its description in RNAcentral is "partial 16S ribosomal RNA". It matches the Rfam family "Bacterial small subunit ribosomal RNA", at positions 355 to 895 of the family's 1533-position model. The record is from RNAcentral.